CCUAGGUGAUCUGCAGUGGGGAAUAUUGGACAAUGGGCGAAAGCCUGAUCCAGCCAUGCCGCGUGUGUGAAGAAGGCCUUCGGGUUGUAAAGCACUUUCAGUGGGGAAGAAAGCCUUGGGGCUAAUACCCUCGAGGAAGGACAUCACCCACAGAAGAAGCACCGGCUAACUCCGUGCCAGCAGCCGCGGUAAUACGGAGGGUGCGAGCGUUAAUCGGAAUUACUGGGCGUAAAGCGCGCGUAGGCGGUCUGAUAAGCCGGUUGUGAAAGCCCCGGGCUCAACCUGGGAACGGCAUCCGGAACUGUCAGGCUAGAGUGCAGGAGAGGAAGGUAGAAUUCCCGGUGUAGCGGUGAAAUGCGUAGAGAUCGGGAGGAAUACCAGUGGCGAAGGCGGCCUUCUGGACUGACACUGACGCUGAGGUGCGAAAGCGUGGGUAGCAAACAGGAUUAGAUACCCCUGUAGUC
This 464-nucleotide ribosomal RNA is filed under the name Vreelandella stevensii. RNAcentral describes it as "partial 16S ribosomal RNA". It matches the Rfam family "Bacterial small subunit ribosomal RNA", at positions 339 to 795 of the family's 1533-position model. Lineage: Bacteria; Pseudomonadati; Pseudomonadota; Gammaproteobacteria; Oceanospirillales; Halomonadaceae. The record is from RNAcentral.